This 253-nucleotide ribosomal RNA is filed under the name uncultured bacterium. Its description in RNAcentral is "partial 16S ribosomal RNA". It matches the Rfam family "Bacterial small subunit ribosomal RNA", at positions 524 to 776 of the family's 1533-position model. The record is from RNAcentral.
GACAGAGGUGUCAAGCGUUGCUCGGAAUUACUGGGCGUAAAGCGCGUUCAGGUGGUUUAUUAAGUCAUGCGUGAAAGCUCUUGGCCUAACCAAGAAAUCGCGUGUGAUACUGAUGAACUAGAGGGUGGGAGAGGAAAGCGGAAUUCCUGGUGUAGCGGUGAAAUGCGUAGAUAUCAGGAGGAACACCUGUGGCGAAGGCGGCUUUCUGGUCCACUUCUGACACUUUCACGCGAAAGCUAGGGGAGCAAACGGG